This 501-nucleotide ribosomal RNA is filed under the name uncultured bacterium. Its description in RNAcentral is "bacterial SSU rRNA". It matches the Rfam family "Bacterial small subunit ribosomal RNA", at positions 775 to 1276 of the family's 1533-position model. The record is from RNAcentral.
AGUCAAUAGAUACCCAGGUAGUCCACGCCGUAAACGAUGAAUACUAGGUGCAGGGGUUGUCAUGACCUCUGUGCCGCCGCAAACGCAUUAAGUAUUCCGCCUGGGGAGUACGGUCGCAAGAUUAAAACUCAAAGGAAUUGACGGGGGCCCGCACAAGCAGCGGAGCAUGUGGUUUAAUUCGAAACAACGCGAAGAACCUUACCUAGACUUGACAUCUCCUGAAUUACUCUGUAAUGGAGGAAGCCCUUCGGGGCAGGAAGACAGGUGGUGCAUGGUUGUCGUCAGCUCGUGUCGUGAGAUGUUGGGUUAAGUCCCGCAACGAGCGCAACCCUUAUUGUUAGUUGCUACCAUUAAGUUGAGCACUCUAGCGAGACUGCCCGGGUUAACCGGGAGGAAGGUGGGGAUGACGUCAAAUCAUCAUGCCCCUUAUGUCUAGGGCUACACACGUGCUACAAUGGCUGGUACAGAGAGAUGCUAAACCGUGAGGUGGAGCCAAACUUU